CGGGAGCUGCUGGACCUGAUCGCGUGGCAGGUUCUUGCGGUCGCCGAUUUGCAGGACUACGUCCGGCUCCGUGCCGUGUGCGCGCACUGGCGCGCCAGCACCGCCUGCCCGCGCGGCCGCGGCAUCGUCGACCGGCGCUUCCACCCACGAAAGUGGAUGAUGCUGCCUGAGGUCCACGGCCUCUACCUGGGCAACAGCAGGCUGCGCGGCUUCGUCCGCUUCUUCAACCUCUCCACCGGCGCCUUCGCCCGUGCCAACCUCCCGCUAUUCACGGACCACUGCGCCCUCGACUCCAUUGACGGCCUCCUCCUGCUGCAGCGGGACCACGACACCGCCGUCCGCCUCCUCCACCCCUUCACCGGCGACGUCCUCGACUUCCCGCCUCUGGAGACCCUCCUGAGGCACGCGGGCGCGGCGACGCCCGACGCCAAGUGGUGUCGUAUAUGAAAUAUCGUUGCCGCCUCUAUGAACGUGGGCGCGAACGGAGUCGUCUCGCUCAUGAUUUUGAUGGCACACCCUUGGAGCAAGAUAGCAUUUGCCACCUCCGAAGAUCCACAAUGGAGGGUUUCAAGCUGGUUCGCCUCCCGAAGUUGUCGUCCAACCUCGUUCCAAGGAAAGAUAUAUGCGGUCCGUUUUACCACAAGUUUCGCCCAACCAGAGGUGCUAGAGACCGGCCCACCACAGCUACAGGGGGUGGAAGAACCCUGGCUGCCACCACCAAGGUCGAUUGCCAAAUGCCCAGCAAGCACACCCGACACCUUUUACACGUACCAUCUGGUAGAAUGCGGCCCAGAGAUCCUGGUGGUCAUUCUAAGCCACAACUACAAGAAGAUUGCAGUUUACAGACUAGCUGACCUUAUGCUGGGAAGGUUUGUGCCAAUGACAUGCAUCGGUGGCAACGCCCUCUUCAUCGAAGGGAGGACGCUGUGCGUCAGUUCCAAAGCGUUUCCUACCAUUGUGGGUGACACCAUCGUCUUUCUCAAUAGGAAGCAACAUUGUCUUGCUCAAUACCACCUGGGCAGCGACACAUUGUUAUCGGCAGAAUAUAGAUUUGCGGACGCAUAUGCUAUGAAAAUUCCUUGUAGCAUAAUUCAACAUAUCUACACAUGUUGCUAUCGUAAAAUAUGGAACAAGGGACAGAUAGUGUUUCGGAAGAAGCAGAACAAGUGGCGGGUGAAGGGAAAGUGGCGAAUUGGGGUACGUACAUCUUUGCCUACGAUGGUAUGA
Molecule: ribosomal RNA, 1227 nt
Filed under: Triticum aestivum (bread wheat)
Lineage: Eukaryota; Viridiplantae; Streptophyta; Magnoliopsida; Poales; Poaceae
Description: partial small subunit ribosomal RNA
Source: RNAcentral